Molecule: long non-coding RNA, 414 nt
Organism: Melopsittacus undulatus (budgerigar)
Lineage: Eukaryota; Metazoa; Chordata; Aves; Psittaciformes; Psittaculidae
Exons: 2
Source: RefSeq, a predicted model, not a curated record
GCUGAUCAGAGACGGGAGCCGCCGGCGGCGGCACCGGCGCCGGGACGGGCUGGGCUGGUCCGGACCGGGCCCAGCGGGCGCUGGACCGGGCCGAGCCCCUCAGGUGCUGUCCCAGCGCCCCACUCCUGGCUAACCAGCACCAGUUCUUCAGUGGCAAGCUUUAUGUCCUUCUCUAGUAGCUAAAGCUGCCAGUUGAAGAACUGUUGAAUGUAGCCACACUCAGCACCGGGACCUUGGAUGCUGGCCGGAUCCAAGCCCUCGCCAACCGGGAUGAGCAGCGUUUGAAGGCUGAGGAUGAGCGUAACGGGGAUGAAGGCAUCUCCAUCAGAGGAGGGGUGCCAGCAGGGUGGCACUGACCUGAGGGCUGCCCAGAGAGGACCAAAAGAGGCAUUAAACUUUAUGUGUUCCUCAACA